UGACAGGAGAUCGACCAUAGACAAGUCCAUGUGCACUUCAAUUUCGAUCGAUCAUAUGUUUUCUUUGUGUAGUUUUUUCAGCCGCUGUAAUUCGAAUUGGUUAUAAAGUUCACGUGUUAAAUUGCCUGAAAACCCUCAAUAAUCGGCUCGUAGUGCAAUAUUGACGCUCGUAUGGUGUCUCUAGUGUGUGGAUAUAUAAAAUUUUGAGACAAAAUUACGUGGUGCAUAAUAGGUGCAUUUCUAUGUGCACGUGCUUGCAUUUUUCAGGCUAAUUGUAAAGUUUCAGAUUAAAAGUGCGUUGCAAGGUGACCUUAGAUUCAUAAGAGCUGUCCUAUUUAUGCAACCACCUCCGCCCGAGCCCAAUUUUUCGGUUUAUCCUAUAAAAAACGUGUGUACAACAGUGUAAAAUAAGUUUGAAAUCUUAGGUUGGAAAAUACUUUAGUGGUUUUAUUUCAACCCAGUGUCGUCAUGAAUCUCGCAUCCUGGAUUAGUAUUUCGUUGGAUGAAGUGUCUGUGAUAAAUACAACUAAAAUGAAAUACCACAUGUGCCAGUGUAAAAUAUGUGCAAAAAGUAAUUUUAUAGUGAACAAUUGUAACAAAAGUUGUGCAAACGACCAAUAUAAAACGUGAAAAUAAUUAUAAAAUAUUGAAAUGUGUGAAAGUCAACAGUUUUCCUAUUUGUGUUUAUAAAAAGUGCGCAUUGGAUGCAGUGUUCUUCGCUAGAUGGCGUUACUUGGAUUAUUGCUGAGCAAGUGAGAUACUUGUUUAGCCACUCCACGCUAGAUGGCGCUUUU
RNAcentral lists this unclassified non-coding RNA (794 nucleotides) under Helicoverpa zea (corn earworm). RNAcentral's name for it is "mitochondrial cardiolipin hydrolase-like, transcript variant X1". The record is from RNAcentral. Lineage: Eukaryota; Metazoa; Arthropoda; Insecta; Lepidoptera; Noctuidae.